GUCCUGAGUAGAGGUGCGCCAAGCAUCAGUAACAGUCAAUAGGGUGAUGCCGUUGACGGGCUGUGAAAGGGUAUUGGCGCCGAAGUGGAUGUGUGUAUCACCGCCUUCCGCUGGGGUCGUUUUCGAAAGAAACGGCACUGCCAUAGUAUUUUCUGUCGGGAUGACAGAUGUUGUAUUUACUAUGGAGCGCUACUGAUAGG
This 200-nucleotide non-coding RNA is filed under the name Shewanella amazonensis. RNAcentral's name for it is "Lysine sequence". It matches the Rfam family "Lysine riboswitch aptamer". Rfam says of the family: Riboswitches are metabolite binding domains within certain messenger RNAs that serve as precision sensors for their corresponding targets. Allosteric rearrangement of mRNA structure is mediated by ligand binding, and this results in modulation of gene expression. Lineage: Bacteria; Pseudomonadati; Pseudomonadota; Gammaproteobacteria; Alteromonadales; Shewanellaceae. RNAcentral also lists the same sequence under 1 other name. The record is from RNAcentral.